GUCCACGCCCUAAACGAUGUCAACUGGUUGUUGGUCUUAACUGACUCAGUAACGAAGCUAACGCGUGAAGUUGACCGCCUGGGAGUACGGCCGCAAGGUUGAAACUCAAAGGAAUUGACGGGACCCGCACAAGCGGUGGAUGAUGUGGUUUAAUUCGAUGCAACGCGAAACCUUACCACCUUUGACAUGUACGAAGAUUCAGAGAUGGAUUUGUGCUCGAAAGAGAACCGUAACACAGGUGCUGCAUGGCUGUCGU
Molecule: ribosomal RNA, 256 nt
Filed under: uncultured bacterium
Lineage: Bacteria
Description: partial 16S ribosomal RNA
Rfam family: Bacterial small subunit ribosomal RNA
Source: RNAcentral